Molecule: long non-coding RNA, 788 nt
Filed under: Fragaria vesca (wild strawberry)
Lineage: Eukaryota; Viridiplantae; Streptophyta; Magnoliopsida; Rosales; Rosaceae
Description: long non-coding RNA (FVES_LNC000233)
Source: RNAcentral
UUUAGGGUUAAUGACAAUAUAUAAUAUGGUUUCCUAAAAAUAACAAGGGCAAAAUGGUAAUUACACUGUUCACACACUUGUGAACAGUCGACCAAACUUUGUUAUAUAGGUAAAUGAGGACAAAAACAGUUUCAAGAAAAUCAUGAAAAUCCAAAACAAAUGUUGAGCAUGAGCACAAAGCCGGCUUCAUGAAAAUCCUAAACAUUUUCAAAAUCAUUGUGGACAAAACCGAUUUCAUGAUAAUCCAAAAACAUUUUCAAAUGUCAAUUUGAUGACAAAGACUUUUGUCACGCCCAAAUUUUCGAAGGAUAAAUUUCAAAAAUUUGGGCAUGAUAUAACUCACAAAUAAGACUACAUGACCUGCUCAACAAAUCCCUACUAAACUUAAAUGCUGGAAAUGUAAAUGUCAACAAAACUCAUCGACUGAGUUAAACAUUACAUCUCUUUAUUUACAACUUCAAAAGUCUAGUAAAAAGAAGAUGCUCACACGAGCUUAAAACAACUUACAUAAUAUACAAAUAAAAUGUACAUCAUCUAAACCCCAGCCACUAUGCCUCUGCCUCAACCCUGUUGAUCAACACCUGCAAGUCUAACCCCUACACCAUGAAUUGGUGCACCGGGUUGUAAACAACAAACCCGGUAAGCUAAAAAACUCGUAUGAGUAAUUCUCAAAAUUUACUCAACAUCUCUAAUACCACAUAAGAUAAAACCGGUAAUUCCUGCUUUAGCACUUAGUUCAGGAAUCACUUCAAAACAAUAAAAUCAUAAGUGAAUCCUGCAAAAAAGNN